This 4660-nucleotide unclassified non-coding RNA is filed under the name Hevea brasiliensis (rubber tree). Lineage: Eukaryota; Viridiplantae; Streptophyta; Magnoliopsida; Malpighiales; Euphorbiaceae. The record is from RNAcentral.
GCACGAUCUUUACGUUUGUUUCAUAUUUUUUUAAGCUAAUUCUUCCAAUUCAAUACAACUGGAACACCAAACAGGCAACCAUUGACAACAUUAGUUCUGGGAUUGCAUUCUAUUUGAUCAUAGAGUAUGACAUCUUACAAUUGCUUAAUAGAAGUAACAUAUAUGGCAAUUUAUCAAGGAAAAUGCAGACAAUUUUACUUUUGAGAAAAUAAAUAAAUAAAUAAAAUAUAGCCUAGCAUUUAAAUUUGAUGCAUGAGCAUCAUCGGCCUCAUCCAAAUGCAGUUGUUGAGAUGGUACUUAUUUCUUGUUUACUUGAAGAAGAAGAAGUUGUACCAGCAAUACCUUCUCUUUCAACAAAGGCUGGCUGCUUAGGUGCUGGAAAGGUUGCAGUGUCACUGUUGAGCAUAACAAUAACAUAUGACAUGUCAGGCCGGUCAGCUGGAUCUUCUUGAACGCAUAACAGUGCGAUGCGUAGGCACUUCAAAAACUCAUUGCUGUUACAACUUUCACUCAUCGUCUUGUCCAUGAAAUCCAAUGCCUUGUCUUCUCUCCACAAUCUCCAUGCAUAACUCAGAAGGUUUAAAGCUUGUUCAGGCUUAAAUACUCCGGUACUCCUCCUUCCACUCAGAAUUUCAAGCACAACCACGCCAAAGCUAAAAGCAUCUGAUUUAACUGAGAAAAGCCCAUCUAAUGCGUACUCUGGGGACAUAUAGCCGCUGCAUUUUAACAAUUAUCAAGACAAUUAGAGGAUUUUUUUUUCCAACAGCUUAGUCAGGGUCAUAUAAAAUUCUGCAUUGAUAUAUGAAUAAUCAACCCAUGAGGGUUGUGUUUGAGAGGCUGUUCAUCCAGAUCCACAAGCCAACUGGUCAUUCCCCAAAAGAUAUCCCCAGGAGGUAAUCGGGUAUGCACAUUUAAAUAUACACUGCGUAAGUGAAACUUACUAAGUUCCGACUACUCUGUUUGUGCUUCCCUCUGUUUGUUUGCCUUCAAAUAUCCUUGCCAAGCCAAAGUCUGAAAUUUUGGGGUUCAUUUCUGCAUCUAGUAAAAUGUUGCUUGUUUUCAAAUCCCUAUGAAUAAUCCUCAACCUAGAAUCUUGGUGCAGAUAAACAAGUCCUCGAGCAACUCCUAUAAUGAUAUUGAAGCGCACCUCCCAAUUCAGAAGCAUGCCAAGCUUUUCAUCGAAUAAAUAAGAAUCUAAACUUCUGUUAGGCAUAUAUUCAUAGAGUAAAAUCUUUUCAUUUCCGUGAAUGCAAUAGCCCAAAAGUCUUACAAGAUUCCGAUGUUGAAGUUUAGCAAUCAGCACAACUUCAUUUUUGAAUUCCUCUAACCCUUGUCCUGAAACACUUGAAAGUCUCUUUAUAGCAAUUUCCUGGCCCCCUGGAAAUAUACCCUUGUACACAGGCCCAAAGCCCCCUCUUCCAAGCUUGUUCGCAUCUGAGAAAUUAUCAGUGGCAGCUAGUAUGCUGUCUAAAUUGAAAAAUGGUACAUCUAUGCCCUUCUUGUCCUCUUCUUUAAAAUCUUUGGAGCCCAUCAAGUCUUUGAUGCGUUUCUCAGUGCCACACAAUAGCGCUGCAUUUCUUUCAAUGUUUUCUCUUUCUGAAUUCAGCAUUGUAACCAUAGACUUAAGAAAUGAAACAAAUAUCUGAGUAGAACCCCAAAAAUUCAGUUCUGACAUAAAAGACGGAAAAUUUUUCUACUUACCUUGUCUUUUUCUCAUCCUUCUUCUGCAUAUGCAUAUGAAAGCAAUGGUGCAUGAAAAAACUAUGACACUUGCAAUAGUUACUCCAAUGAUUAAAAGCAACGGUGUCUUUCUUCUUGAGGCUAAUUGCUUUGGAUAACUCGUAUUUUCUACGGGAAGAAAGAGGAAUAUCCUUAUGUGUCAAAUUAGAAGAAAAGAACCUACAAAGUCUUUACUGUAAGAAAUACGUGUCAAAUUCAAACAAUAUAUGGUUUUCAUUGACUUUUGCAGUGUUUUGUCUUGCAGUGCCAGAUUGUCAUCUUAUUUGGCACCCUGCCUUUUAGGAGAUAUGGCUUGACUCACAAGGAAAUUCUUAUCUGCAUUGGGUUCUUCACCGACUCAAGACAUAUACUUGUGAGAUUCACUGUUUAACAAGUGAGUGUUACUAUUUAUAUUAUUAUAUAUAUCGUGUCUUACGUCCAUAGUGUACCGGAUCUAGUUAAAAGAAAAAUCCGACUCACAAAUACACGGACAUAUAUAUGCAUGCAUGGUAGACCCUCAAGUAACUGGAAAGUUCAACACGAAAGUGGAAAGGCAACAUUGCAGUUUCGUGGACAUGAUAAGAUUCUCACCGGAAGUAAAAUUCAGCGCUGAUCCAUUCCAUCGAAAGUUUGCAUUACAAAGGCAUCUUCUCAUGCCAUUUCCUGUCACUUUGCAUGUUGAAUAUGGCCAAUCCUUGCAGUCAGCAGAUGACCUGCAGCUUGGCUCUGGGGGCGGAUCCCAACUGAUCUCUAUUUCAUCCAUACCUUUUGACAAAAUAUUAGCACUAAAAUUCUUCACCUCAUCAGUACAGUAGUGGAUUUCAUUAAUCACUUUAAAUGGUAAUGACUGGUCAAGAUACAGAAUUUCACUAUUUCUAGCAUUGCAAUUAUCUGCUUCUUUGGCUUGGAUGACAAAUUUUCUUGUAAUUGGAUUGAUACUGGUGACAUCAUAAGUUCCGGUAGGUACCUUAAAGUUAAGCUUUCCUGUGGAGUUGUUGCAGUAGAAAUUCUUGUACAUAGGAUCACCACAAUUUGAUCCAGUGCUUAGGGGAUAAGGAAUUAAGUUCGUGCCACAAGCUUCACAAUUUCUAGACGUUGAUUCUGAAAAGGUUGAAACUUGUCAUUACAGAACAAAAUUCUAAUGAGCAAUCAGGUGAAGGGUUUAUAGGCAGUUCAUAACUAACCAGAUUCCUGAUAGGAUUAGGAAUACUAAGGAAGAUUCUAAUCUGAUAACUAAAACAAGGCAAACAAUUUUACGAAGAUUGCUUAAGAAAUUAAAAAUUCUCAAAUAAUACUGAAGCCCUAAAUUUCCUAUGUAGAAAAGCUACAAGAAAUAUGGUUUUCCAUUACUACACCAAGAAGCUAAGUAAUUUCCAGAAACUUAUCCAAAUUAAUUGAAAAAGAACAGGAGAAGAAAGUAAGUACCAAUAUCGGACCUCGCUACACGGACAAAGAGGUCAUGACCAUUAUGAUAGUCCUCCUGUAGAUUGCUAAGAUCCUCUGUCCAAAUCCAGCAGGUGGGGCUACUAGGUUCAACGUCUCUCCGAGAACUAUUACCUUCAGUAUAGGAAUAAGCCUGGCAUCGGCAUUCGCUGAGACACUCCUCUCUGCAUUUUAUCUCAUUAACAUCAUAUUUUGAUUCUGUGUUGGCCACUUUCAUCAUCUUCAAGUUCAAGAAGAUGUCAUUCUUGCCGCAUGAUGUUGACUUUCUAUUGCAUCCACCAGAAAAUUCUCCCUUGUUCCAAUCUUCUGGAUGUUGGGGCUUGAAACCUGGCAAACAUUUACAGGGUAUUUUGUUGUUGUUAUUGCAGCUGCCAAAGCUUCCACAAGCUUUAAGAGCACUGCAUCUGUCUUUUGGCUCCCGCCAAAUUAAUGACCAUUCAUUCCGCUCAUCCAAGAUCCAACAUUGUAUCUCUCCUGUAAAACUCAUCACAAUCCUUGUCUUAUUAUAACUGGAGGGUAAAGGAUGGCCUUCUGACCUGUGAGGCCCAACAUUUUUGUUAAAGUUGAAUAAAAGGUAGGCUACUGUGGAAUUUACUUCAUCUGUACUAAAGAAUUCACCAGAUACUCCACUUCUCCAAUAAGGGAAAGGUCCAUUCCAAAUGAUGAACUGGUUCUUAUCGUCUUCAUAUGGAUUAAACUUGAAUUUUCCAGGUGCUGGAUCAACGUGACUAGUCCAUGAAGUCAACGCGAUGUUCUGGUCCAUCUUCAUACCUGAAAUAAAUGUAUCAGUUGGGUUCUGAAAGCUCUGCCAUAUGAUUAUCGCUAACUGAUUCCUCAAGACCAAGUUCCCAGAAUCCAAAAGCUUAGCUUCCCAGUAACGCCGAUAUCUUGGUGAUGGUGUUCCAAGCUCUGUUGACCAGAAAAGAUUUCCAGAUUUAUCCAGUACCGUGAGGUUGCCGUCAUGCACAGCAAAACAUCCAUCAACGUCCGAAAGUGGCUUGUUUCUAUUGGCAACCCAUAUGACUGUUAUUGGAUUUAAUCCGUAAUACCAUAUCCCUACAUACCUUUUGGUAUCAGAGCUUCCAGCAGGAGUAAAGAAUCCCAGUUCAAAUCUUUUUUCAGCGGAAAUAAGGGUUUCUCCAUCGGUAAGUGAACUGUUUGAUGAGAUGGUAUCACUAGCAAAGGAAUUUAGAAGUGAAAAGCACAAUAUGAACACACAAGAAAAGAAGAUGGUAUUUAGCAUAUUUUCCAAAGAUUCCAAAGAUUAUAGUGGUUGUUUUGGUUAUCAUCAAGAUCAAAAGGAUGUAUCUAAUCAGAGAGCAGUCAUCCAUACACAAGGGCACGCUGUGGCCAAUCAUACAAGAACCUGUAGAUUUCCCCUCAUCUCGUUGUUCUUUUGUGGAAAUGGUGCCCAGCAAGAGUCAGAGGACUCACGGCAGGCACUAAAAGACACAUCCAUGUUUUACGUUUAAUGCUACUCUCAUUGUUACAGUCUAAA